AUUGAACGCUGGCGGCAGGCCUAACACAUGCAAGUCGAGCGGAUGAAGGGAGCUUGCUCCUGGAUUCAGCGGCGGACGGGUGAGUAAUGCCUAGGAAUCUGCCUGGUAGUGGGGGAUAACGACCGGAAACGGGCGCUAAUACCGCAUACGUCCUGAGGGAGAAAGUGGGGGAUCUUCGGACCUCACGCUAUCAGAUGAGCCUAGGUCGGAUUAGCUAGUUGGUGGGGUAAAGGCCUACCAAGGCGACGAUCCGUAACUGGUCUGAGAGGAUGAUCAGUCACACUGGAACUGAGACACGGUCCAGACUCCUACGGGAGGCAGCAGUGGGGAAUAUUGGACAAUGGGCGAAAGCCUGAUCCAGCCAUGCCGCGUGUGUGAAGAAGGUCUUCGGAUUGUAAAGCACUUUAAGUUGGGAGGAAGGGCAGUAAGUUAAUACCUUGCUGUUUUGACGUUACCAACAGAAUAAGCACCGGCUAACUUCGU
RNAcentral lists this ribosomal RNA (483 nucleotides) under uncultured bacterium. RNAcentral's name for it is "partial 16S ribosomal RNA". It matches the Rfam family "Bacterial small subunit ribosomal RNA", at positions 30 to 506 of the family's 1533-position model. The record is from RNAcentral.